This is a non-coding RNA of Carica papaya (papaya), 1811 nucleotides long. Lineage: Eukaryota; Viridiplantae; Streptophyta; Magnoliopsida; Brassicales; Caricaceae. The record is from RefSeq and is a predicted model, not a curated record.
UUAUCAUGGUUUGGAACUUUUAAUUGCCAUUACAAAGCCAUUAGUUGUGUGAGAUUCAAUCAUAACUCCUCUUCGACUUUCUUCUGCACUAGUUAAAGAUAUCACAUUAUUCAGGGAUGAUAUCUUUUCUUUCUCAGGGUCUCAACUCUUACCUAAUUAUAUUUCUCAUUAAGUCCUGCCAUAAAUUGGUGUUCCCUAUUAUUCUCAACAACUCUUUUUAAGGUUGCCAUGUCUUUGCUGCUCUUCUUGGUGAUACGAUGAUUUUGAUUAAGUUUUUGUCAUAAACCUUUUAGAAGGUUGGAAUAUUCUAUAACUAUUUUGUUGUCUUUUAUUUGUCCAACUUUUGAUGGUUAGAUCAUACAUCUAAACUGUAUCUUUUUCCUUAAAAUAGGUUUCUCAUAGUAAAUUCCAAAUUUCCUUUGUCGUAGGCAGACACAUAAUUAUUUUCCUAAUCUGUGUUGUCAUAGAGUUCAAAAGCCAGGUUAUAAUCGGGUAUCUUUCAGCUUUCGUCCAGUGCAAAAGAGAUGACUUAAUUUUCCUCUAUCCUUGAGAGUGGUUUGAAUUAGUUGUGAUCAACUUGAGUAAUCUUAGCUGUUAAAGUGCUAGGCAACCUGCUCCAGACAGGUUAAGAAAAGGCAAUAAAGUCCAAAUAUAGUUUUCUUUUAGUAACUAUGCCUGAUUGUUUUUCGGGAGUUUAGGUUAAGAAAAGGAAAUUGAAUUUCAUAAUGGAUUUUAGGAAAUCAGAGAGAGCAGAAGAGAACUUAGAGAAGAAUUGAGAAGAAAGAGUAGAGAGAAAGAAGGAUUUCUGAUUAGGGUUUGAUCUUUGAUUCUGUGUAUACGCAUAUUGAUUAUCCAUCAAUUUUCCUUAUUUCCACUCAGCACUACCAUAAGUUCAGUAAAUUCUAACAAGAAAGCUAACUGAAAACAGAAUUCAAGGUAAGAGAACAAGUAACUUCAAGAGAAAUGAUUUAGAACAUCCCUGAAAAUGGUCAAUGUCCCUGUUUUGUCUUUGUCAUUUCUGGUGUGGUCCUAUACUCCUUUGGGUUUUUACUUUCCAGUUCCAUGUGUGUCAUCUCUUCUGAUCUCCUGAUACUUCUAUUCUUUUAGAACUGUGUUAGUAUGACUAGUAUAGUCGAAGAAUAUACGUUGUAAUAUUUUUGCCUUUACUGCUUUUGAUUGCCUUUUUUCUGUUGUCUUAACCUCUAAGAUCAAUUUUCUCAAAUAGUAUCAUGUUUAAAUUGUGCAACGGAAUAACUUAAAUACUAUUACUUAGGUGGAUCAGUUGUGGCGGCAUUUGCAAAUUCCUUUAGUCCUUUAUAUUUUGUGGUUAGACAAGUUAAGGAAGUCAUGUCAACAGAAGAUCCAUGUGAUUUAGCAUAUGAAUUUGGAGAUGGGCUCCUGGAUAUUGAAGAAUACCCACAAGGCUUCCCAAGACCAGUGAGGCAUCCGUAUCCUUUCAACGAUCAGGUUGUAGUAUACAUUCGUCAUAUUGGGCCUGGAGUUUCAAUAGGACAAGUAUGGCAAGAAGGGAAGCAAUUACAACAAGUGCCUCACAAGUUGUGUGGUGAAAUUUUAAUGGUGAAAGAUUGUUCGUGACUCUUCUAAAUAGGAUAAAUCUACACUUAUGUAUAUCAAAUCAUAUUUUUAGCUUUUAAUUUAUUUAAACUAGAUUAUGAAAGUAACUAAUUGUCCAUUCAUUCAGUGAUACUCUCUCUUAUAUUCAUUUUACUUCAUCUCUUAUUAUUGAUUGUAUUACACUCUUGUAUAAGUCAUUAUUAAGAGGUAAUUGGAAUUUUGAAAAACAUAAUUCA